Molecule: ribosomal RNA, 497 nt
Filed under: uncultured bacterium
Lineage: Bacteria
Description: partial 16S ribosomal RNA
Rfam family: Bacterial small subunit ribosomal RNA
Source: RNAcentral
GAUGAACGCUGGCGGCGUGCCUAAUACAUGCAAGUCGAGCGAACAGACGAGGAGCUUGCUCCUCUGACGUUAGCGGCGGACGGGUGAGUAACACGUGGAGAACCUACCUAUAAGACUGGGAUAACUUCGGGAAACCGGCGCUAAUACCGGAUAAUAUAUUGAACCGCAUGGUUCAAUAGUGAAAGACGGUUUUGCUGUCACUUAUAGAUGGAUCCGCGCCGCAUUAGCUAGUUGGUAAGGUAACGGCUUACCAAGGCGACGAUGCGUAGCCGACCUGAGAGGGUGAUCGGCCACACUGGAACUGAGACACGGUCCAGACUCCUACGGGAGGCAGCAGUAGGGAAUCUUCCGCAAUGGGCGAAAGCCUGACGGAGCAACGCCGCGUGAGUGAUGAAGGUCUUCGGAUCGUAAAACUCUGUUAUUAGGGAAGAACAAAUGUGUAAGUAACUAUGCACGUCUUGACGGUACCUAAUCAGGAAGCCACGGCUAACUACGUG